Molecule: transfer RNA, 66 nt
Filed under: Rhithrodytes bimaculatus
Lineage: Eukaryota; Metazoa; Arthropoda; Insecta; Coleoptera; Dytiscidae
Also listed under: 1 other name
Description: tRNA-Asp
Source: RNAcentral
AAAGAUUUAGUUAAAUUAUAACAUUAGAAUGUCAAACUAAAAUUAUUAAAUUUUUAAUAUUCUUUA